Molecule: ribosomal RNA, 1362 nt
Filed under: Stibochiona nicea
Lineage: Eukaryota; Metazoa; Arthropoda; Insecta; Lepidoptera; Nymphalidae
Description: 16S ribosomal RNA
Source: RNAcentral
GGGGAAAAUUUAAUAAUAGGGGGAAAUAUUAAAAAAAUUUUUAAAGUUAAAAUAUUAUAAUGGGGGUUAAAGUAUAUUUAAUGGAAAAAAUUAAAAAAUUUAUAGUUAAUUAGUAUUGUUAAAGAAUUUUGAAAUAUUAUGAAAAAAAAAUUUUUAUAAAAGUAAAUUUAAUUUAUUGUAUCUUGUGUAUCAGAGUUUAUUAAUUAAAUUUUUUAAUUAAAAUAAUCUCGAAUUUAAAAGAGAUAAUUAAUUAUAAAAGUUAAUGUUGAAUAAUUAUUUUAAAUAAUUAAUUUGAAAUGAAAUGUUAAUCGUUUUUAAAUAUAUCUAGUUUUUUUAGAAAAAAAUUUAAUUUUUAAUUAAAAUAAAUUUAUUUAUUAAUUUAAAAUUUAAUAAAUAAAAUUUUAAAUUUAAUAAUUUAGGGGAUAAGCUUUAAAUUAAAAUUUUAUAAUUAAAUUAAAUAAAAUUAAAAUUUUUAAAAUUUAUAAUGUUUAAAAUUUUUAAUUUAUUAUAAAAAAUUUUAAUUUAAAUAAAAUUUAAAUAAAAAUUUAAUUUUUUUAUAAAAAAAUUUUUUAUAAUUUAUGAAAUAAAGUUAUAAUGAUAAAAUUAGUAUAUUAUAAAAAAGAAAAUAAAUUUAAUUUAAAAUUAAAUUAAAGGAAUUCGGCAAAAUAUAAUAUUCACUUGUUUAUCAAAAACAUGUCUUUUUGAUAAUAAUUAAAAGUCUAAUCUGCCCACUGAUAUUAUAUAUAUUAAAGGGCUGCAGUAUAUUGACUGUACAAAGGUAGCAUAAUCAUUAGUCUUUUAAUUGAAGACUUGUAUGAAGGAUUUGAUGAAAUAUUAACUGUCUCUAAUUUAUUUUUAGAAUUUAAUAUUUUAGUUAAAAAGCUAAAAUGUUUUUAAAAGACGAGAAGACCCUAUAGAGUUUUAUAAUUUAAUUUAAUUAAGAUAAUUUAUUUUUUUUAAUGUUAAAAUUAAAUAAAUUAUUAUAUUGGGGUGAUAGAAAAAUUAAAUAAACUUUUUUUAAAUAUUAAACAUAAAUAAAUGAUUUUUUGAUCCAUUAAUAAUGAUUAUAAGAAAAAAUUACCUUAGGGAUAACAGCGUAAUAUUUUUUUUUAGUACAAAUAAAAAAAAAAGUUUGCGACCUCGAUGUUGGAUUAAGAUAAAAUUUAAAUGCAAAAGUUUAAAAUUUUGAUCUGUUCGAUCAUUAAAAUCUUACAUGAUCUGAGUUCAAACCGGUGUAAGCCAGGUUGGUUUCUAUCUUUAAAUAAAUAAAAUAUUUUAGUACGAAAGGAUCAAAUAUUUAAAAUAAUUUUAUUUAUUUUGAAUUUUAUUAAAUAAGUAAUAUAUAUAUAUAUGUGUAUAUUU